AUACGUAGGGGGCGAGCGUUAUUCGGAAUUACUGGGUGUAAAGGGUAUGUAGGCGGUCUCGCGAGUCGCACGUCAAAGUCCAGCGCUCAACGCUGGGUUCGCGCGCGAUACUGUGGGACUAGAGGGCUGGAGAGGUGAGCGGAAUUCCCGGUGUAGUGGUAAAAUACGUAGAUAUCGGGAGGAACACCAGCGGCGUAGGCGGCUCACUAGACAGUUUCUGACGCUAAGAUACGAAAGCGUGGGGAGCAAACAGGAUUAGAUACCCUGGUAGUCCACGCCCUAAACGAUGGAUACUUGGUGUUGGGGGGUUGCCCUCAGUGCCGGAGCUAACGCGUUAAGUAUCCCACCUGGGGACUACGGCCGCAAGGCUAAA
This 373-nucleotide ribosomal RNA is filed under the name uncultured bacterium. RNAcentral describes it as "bacterial SSU rRNA". It matches the Rfam family "Bacterial small subunit ribosomal RNA", at positions 523 to 898 of the family's 1533-position model. The record is from RNAcentral.